UAGCUAGUUGGUGAGGUAAAGGCUCACCAAGGCGACGAUCUGUAGCGGGUCUGAGAGGAUGAUCCGCCACACUGGAACUGAGACACGGUCCAGACUCCUACGGGAGGCAGCAGUGGGGAAUUUUUGGACAAUGGGGGCAACCCUGAUCCAGCCAUGCCGCGUGAGUGAAGAAGGCCUUCGGGUUGUAAAGCUCUUUCGGCCGGGAAGAAAUCGCAUGGGCCAAUACCCUGUGCGGAUGACGGUACCGGCAUAAGAAGCACCGGCUAACUACGUGCCAGCAGCCGCGGUAAUACGUAGGGUGCGAGCGUUAAUCGGAAUUACUGGGCGUAAAGCGUGCGCAGGCGGUUUUGUAAGACAGGCGUGAAAUCCCCGGGCUCAACCUGGGAACUGCGUUUGUGACUGCAAGGCUAGAGUACGGCAGAGGGGGGUGGAAUUCCACGUGUAGCAGUGAAAUGCGUAGAGAUGUGGAGGAACACCAAUGGCGAAGGCAGCCCCCUGGGUCGAUACUGACGCUCAUGCACGAAAGCGUGGGUAGCAAACAGGAUUAGAUACCCUGGUAGUCCACGCCCUAAACGAUGUCAACUAGGUGUUGGGUGGGUAAAACCAUUUAGUACCGGAGCUAACGCGUGAAGUUGACCGCCUGGGGAGUACGGCCGCAAGGUUAAAACUCAAAGGAAUUGACGGGGACCCGCACAAGCGGUGGAUGAUGUGGAUUAAUUCGAUGCAACGCGAAAAACCUUACCUACCCUUGACAUGUCCAGGAGCCUGAAGAGAUUUGGGUGUGCCCGAAAGGGAACUGGAACACAGGUGCUGCAUGGCUGUCGUCAGCUCGUGUCGUGAGAUGUUGGGUUAAGUCCCGCAACGAGCGCAACCCUUGUCGUUAAUUGCCAUCAUUCAGUUGGGCACUUUAACGAGACUGCCGGUGACAAACCGGAGGAAGGUGGGGAUGACGUCAAGUCCUCAUGGCCCUUAUGGGUAGGGCUUCACACGUCAUACAAUGGUCGGUACAAAGGGUUGCCAAGCCGCGAGGUGGAGCCAAUCCCAGAAAGCCGAUCGUAGUCCGGAUCGUAGGCUGCAACUCGCCUGCGUGAAGUCGGAAUCGCUAGUAAUCGUGGAUCAGCAUGUCACGGUGAAUACGUUCCCGGGUCUUGUACACACCGCCCGUCACACCAUGGGAGCGGGUUCCGCCAGAAGUAGGUAGCCUAACCGCAAGGGGGGCGCUUACCACGGCGGGGUUCGUGACUGGGGUGAAGUCGUAACAAGGUAGCCGUAGGGGAACCUGCGGCUG
RNAcentral lists this ribosomal RNA (1288 nucleotides) under metagenome. Its description in RNAcentral is "bacterial SSU rRNA". It matches the Rfam family "Bacterial small subunit ribosomal RNA", at positions 242 to 1520 of the family's 1533-position model. The record is from RNAcentral.